RNAcentral lists this ribosomal RNA (484 nucleotides) under uncultured bacterium. Its description in RNAcentral is "partial 16S ribosomal RNA". It matches the Rfam family "Bacterial small subunit ribosomal RNA", at positions 30 to 507 of the family's 1533-position model. The record is from RNAcentral.
AUUGAACGCUGGCGGCAGGCCUAACACAUGCAAGUCGAGCGGACGAAGGGAGCUUGCUCCUGGAUUCAGCGGCGGACGGGUGAGUAAUGCAUAGGAAUCUGCCUGGUAGUGGGGGAUAACGUCCGGAAACGGGCGCUAAUAUAGCAUACGUCCUGAGGGAGAAAGUGGGGGAUCUUAGGACCUCACGCUAUCAGAUGAGCCUAGGUCGGAUUAGCUAGUUGGUGGGGUAAAGGCCUACCAAGGCGACGAUCCGUAACUGGUCUGAGAGGAUGAUCAGUCACACUGGAACUGAGACACGGUCCAGACUCCUACGGGAGGCAGCAGUAGGGAAUAUUGGGCAAUGGGCGAAAGCCUGAUCCAGCCAUGCCGCGUGUGUGAAGAAGGUCUUCGGAUUGUAAAACUCUUUUAGUUGGGAGGAACAUAAGUAAAUUUAUACCUUGCCAUUUUGACGUUACCAACAGAAUAAGCACCGGCUAACUUCGUG